ACCACCAGCAACAGUGAAGGGUGUAGCUCCUUCAGCACUGCCAGGUGUUAGAGCAGCCGGGGGCAGGUGUGAGCCUCCAAAGCACAGCAGAGGAGGUGAGGUUAUAUUGGGUGCAGACAGCUCCGCCAAGGAGACUUGCUGGUGAGGAUCUGUAUUCCAUAGAAAAUAUUCACUAACUGGUGUUUUUUCAAGUUUGUUCUCUCAUCCUUCUGUCCGCUGCUAAUGUUCUUUUUUUGAGCGGCCAUGGCCAGAGAGCUUCACAGAAAGAGCUCGGGCUCAGAAGAACUGACUUUGUCAACUAUUUACAGAGAUCCCAGUGACAUGCAUUCUGUAUGGUACGACCAUGCUGUGAGUACUUACUUAUAUGAACUCAAUAUUUUUGUACACAUAAUGAACAUCUGGUGACAAGACGCUCAGAGCAACAACAACAAAAAAAGAAAGGGAAAAAAAAGAAGAGGAGAAAGAAAAGCAAAAGGCCGUAAAAUCUUUUGCAUGCCUGCUACUUUUAUGACUUAAAAUAUUUUUCCUUCAAUCAGUGCAUCUAGGGAAACUUUUUUUGAUGUAACAAUCAAUUUUUAACAAGGAAAAAAGUCUGAACUCAUAAAUAUUGUAUGUAUUAAUUGUGAAGCUUAAUGGAACAUUUUGUGUUUCUGAACAACUCGUUUACAUAAUUAAAAUCUCCUUUGAUCUGUUAGUAAAUGAUUUAAUCUUAAUGCUCAUUAGACUAAAUGGGUCUUCUAUUCAAUUGUAUCAAGAUGGUAUGGAAAAUUCUCAGACCUUUAGAAAAUAUUUGUUAGUUGUUAGGAAAACACAGAAACGUAUCUGCGAA
RNAcentral lists this long non-coding RNA (829 nucleotides) under Anser brachyrhynchus (Pink-footed goose). RNAcentral's name for it is "lncRNA (ENSABRG00000011206.1)". The record is from RNAcentral. Lineage: Eukaryota; Metazoa; Chordata; Aves; Anseriformes; Anatidae.